CGCCAGCCGCCGCGGUAAUACGGAGGGUGCAGGCGUUAAUCGGAUUUAUUGGGCGUAAAGGGCGCGUAGGCGGGAAUGCAAGUCAGAUGUGAAAUCCCGGGGCUCAACCCCGGAACUGCAUUUGAAACUGCAUUUCUUGAGGAUAGGCGGAGAAAACGGAAUUCCACGUGUAGCGGUGAAAUGCGUAGAUAUGUGGAAGAACACCAGUGGCGAAGGCGGUUUUCUAGCUUAUUCCUGACGCUAAAGCGCGAAAGCAAGGGGAGCAAACAGGAUUAGAUA
RNAcentral lists this ribosomal RNA (279 nucleotides) under uncultured bacterium. RNAcentral describes it as "partial 16S ribosomal RNA". It matches the Rfam family "Bacterial small subunit ribosomal RNA", at positions 506 to 784 of the family's 1533-position model. The record is from RNAcentral.